Molecule: ribosomal RNA, 440 nt
Filed under: uncultured bacterium
Lineage: Bacteria
Description: partial 16S ribosomal RNA
Rfam family: Bacterial small subunit ribosomal RNA
Source: RNAcentral
CCUACGGGAGGCAGCAGUGGGGAAUAUUGCACAAUGGGGGAAACCCUGCUGCAGCGACGCCGCGUGAGUGCAGAAGUAUUUCGGUAUGUACAGCUCUAUCAGCAGGGAAGAAAAUGACGGUACCUGAUUAAGAAGCACCGGCUAACUCCGUGCCAGCAGCCGCGGUAAUACGUAGGGGGCAAGCGUUAUCCGGAGUUACUGGGUGUAAAGGGCGCGUAGACGGCAGCACAAUUCUGGAGUGAAAUGCCGGGGCUUAACCCCGGAACUGCUUUGGAAACUGUGCAGCUAGAGUGCAGGAGAGGUAAGUGGAAUUCCUAGUGUAGCGGUGAAAUGCGUAGAUAUUAGGAGGAACACCAGUGGCGAAGGCGGCUUACUGGACUGUAACUGACGUUGAGGCUCGAAAGCGUGGGGAGCAAACAGGAUUAGAUACCCUAGUAGUC